CAGCCGCCGCGGUAACACCGGCAGCUCUAGUGGUAGCAAUUUUAUUGGGCCUAAAGCGUCCGUAGCCGGUUUAAUAAGUCUCUGGUGAAAUCCUGCAGCUUAACUGUGGGAAUUGCUGGAGAUACUAUUAGACUUGAGACCGGGAGAGGUUAGAGGUACUCCCAGGGUAGAGGUGAAAUUCUGUAAUCCUGGGAGGACCGCCUGUUGCGAAGGCGUCUAACUGGAACGGUUCUGACGGUGAGGGACGAAAGUUAGGGGCGCGAACCGGAUUAGAUACCCGGGUAGUCCUAAACUGUAAACGAUGCGGACUUGGUGUUGGGUGGCUUUGAGCUGCUUCAGUGCCGAAGGGAAGCUGUUAAGUCCGCCGCCUGGGAAGUACGGUCGCAAGACUGAAACUUAAGGAAUUGGCGGGGGAGCACCACAACGCGUGGAGCCUGCCGGUUUAAUUGGAUUCAACGCCGGACAUCUCACCAGAGGCGACAGCUGUAUGAUAGCCAGGUUGAUGACUUUGCUUGACUAGCUGAGUGGAGGUGCAUGG
This 538-nucleotide ribosomal RNA is filed under the name uncultured archaeon. Its description in RNAcentral is "bacterial SSU rRNA". It matches the Rfam family "Archaeal small subunit ribosomal RNA", at positions 459 to 997 of the family's 1478-position model. The record is from RNAcentral.